GGUGAGUAACGCGUGGGAACGUGCCCUUCGGUUCGGAAUAACCCUGGGAAACUAGGGCUAAUACCGGAUACGCCCCUUGGGGGAAAGGUUUACGCCGAAGGAUCGGCCCGCGUCUGAUUAGCUUGUUGGUGAGGUAACGGCUCACCAAGGCGACGAUCAGUAGCUGGUCUGAGAGGAUGAUCAGCCACACUGGGACUGAGACACGGCCCAGACUCCUACGGGAGGCAGCAGUGGGGAAUAUUGGACAAUGGGCGCAAGCCUGAUCCAGCCAUGCCGCGUGAGUGAUGACGGCCUUAGGGUUGUAAAGCUCUUUUGUCCGGGACGAUAAUGACGGUACCGGAAGAAUAAGCCCCGUAACUUCGUGCCAGCAGCCGCGGUAAUACGAAGGGGGCUAGCGUUGCUCGGAAUCACUGGGCGUAAAGGGCGCGUAGGCGGCUUAUCAAGUCGGGGGUGAAAGCCCGUGGCUCAACCACGGAAUGGCCUUCGAUACUGGUAGGCUUGAGACCGGAAGAGGACAGCGGAACUGCGAGUGUAGAGGUGAAAUUCGUAGAUAUUCGCAAGAACACCAGUGGCGAAGGCGGCUGUCUGGUCCGGUUCUGACGCUGAGGCGCGAAAGCGUGGGGAGCAAACAG
This 632-nucleotide ribosomal RNA is filed under the name Methylobacterium sp. Its description in RNAcentral is "bacterial SSU rRNA". It matches the Rfam family "Bacterial small subunit ribosomal RNA", at positions 105 to 775 of the family's 1533-position model. Lineage: Bacteria; Pseudomonadati; Pseudomonadota; Alphaproteobacteria; Hyphomicrobiales; Methylobacteriaceae. The record is from RNAcentral.